Molecule: long non-coding RNA, 413 nt
Filed under: Vitis vinifera (wine grape)
Lineage: Eukaryota; Viridiplantae; Streptophyta; Magnoliopsida; Vitales; Vitaceae
Description: long non-coding RNA (VVIN_LNC000242)
Source: RNAcentral
UUGCCACAAGUCAAACCUUUAUAGCAAUGUUUUAAAAAUCGGACCGGAUCGGCCGAUCUGACCGGUCGAACCGUCGAUCGGUGACCUUUCUGGUUCGAUCCAGCCCAAUGAACCGUUUUAUGAUCAAACUGGUAUUGAACCGGUCAAAUCGCCGGUUGAACCGCCAAACUGGUCAAACCAUCCGGUUUUUUACGAACCGGCCAAGCUUUUUUUUUUUUUCCUAUUCUACAAAUAUUUGUUACUAUUAAGAGGCCCAUUAAUGAACCCAAUUCCUUGCCCAAUACUUUUAAAACUUCACUAAUUAUAAACCCAUAUUUGGUUCAAGCCACCAGGCCCAAUCCAAUAAAAUUAUAACUUAUAAAUCUUUCUCUUGGGCCAUGCCUCCAAGCCCAAUUUGCUGGCUUGCUUGGCUU